GAUGAACGCUGGCGGCGUGCCUAAUACAUGCAAGUCGAGCGAACGGACGCGAAGCUUGCUUUUCUGAUGUUAGCGGCGGACGGGUGAGUAACACGUGGAUCACCUACCUAUAAGACUGGGAUAACUUCGGGAAACCGGAGCUAAUACCGGAUAAUAUUUUGAACCGCAUGGUUCAAUAGUGAAAGACGGCCUUGCUGUCACUUCUAGAUGGUUCCGCGCUGCAUUAGCUAGUUGGUAAGGUCACGGCUUACCAAGGCAACUAUGCAUAGCCGACGUGAGAGAGGGAUAGGCCACACUAGAACGGGGACGGGGUCCUGGCUCCUACGGGACGGAGCAGAAGGGAAUCGGCCGCAGUGGGGGGAAACCUGACGGAGCGACGGCACGUGAGUGAUGGAGGUCCUCCGAGCGUGAAACUCUGCUAUGAGGUAAGAACAGAUGUGGAAGUAACUGUGCAGAGCUUGACGGUACUUAAUCAAAAAGCCACGGCUAACUACGUG
This 497-nucleotide ribosomal RNA is filed under the name uncultured bacterium. Its description in RNAcentral is "partial 16S ribosomal RNA". It matches the Rfam family "Bacterial small subunit ribosomal RNA", at positions 28 to 507 of the family's 1533-position model. The record is from RNAcentral.